RNAcentral lists this ribosomal RNA (468 nucleotides) under uncultured bacterium. RNAcentral's name for it is "partial 16S ribosomal RNA". It matches the Rfam family "Bacterial small subunit ribosomal RNA", at positions 28 to 507 of the family's 1533-position model. The record is from RNAcentral.
GACGAACGCUGGCGGCGUGCUUAACACAUGCAAGUCGAACGGAAAGGCCCUGCUUUUGUGGGGUGCUCGAGUGGCGAACGGGUGAGUAACACGUGUGUAACCUGCCCUUGACUUUGGGAUAACUUCAGGAAACUGGGGCUAAUACCGGAUAGGAGCUCCUGCUGCAUGGUGGGGUUUGGAAAGUUUCGGCGGUUGGGGAUGGACUCGCAGCUUAUCAGCUUGUUGGUGGGGUAGUGGCUUACCAAGGCUUUGACGGGUAGCCGGCCUGAGAGGGUGACCGGCCACAUUGGGACUGAGAUACGGCCCAGACUCCUACGGGAGGCAGCAGUGGGGAAUAUUGCACAAUGGGCGGAAGCCUGAUGCAGCAACGCCGCGUGCGGGAUGACGGCCUUCGGGUUGUAAACCGCUUUCGCCUGUGACGAAGCGUGAGUGACGGUAAUGGGUAAAGAAGCACCGGCUAACUACGUG